RNAcentral lists this unclassified non-coding RNA (479 nucleotides) under Hevea brasiliensis (rubber tree). Lineage: Eukaryota; Viridiplantae; Streptophyta; Magnoliopsida; Malpighiales; Euphorbiaceae. The record is from RNAcentral.
UUCUUGCUGAGUCUGCGGAGGAAAACUCUUUCCAUAAGUCCUGCAACCAAAUCACAAAUUAGAAAUAAAAUUCAAUCCAAAAUUUUCAGAACAAGGAACCUCAAUUCUCCAAUUUUUUUUUUCAAGUAUAUAACUUUGGUAAUUCAUGUAAACUAAAACUUGAAUUCUCUAAUAUUCAGAAUUUGAUAAUCAAGAAAACAGAAUGGAGAAUUCACACGUAGAUAUUCAAGAAAACAGAAGUGAGAAUGAACAUGUACAAUAGGCAAGCAUUUAAACGUUCCAAAACCAUAAGAACAGAAAAUAUGACACAUAAUCUUAUGUUUCUUCACUUUUUUCCCCAGAGCCAAACGGGGUAAAAUAAAAAGUUGAGCACCAGUUUACCUCAACUUUAGCUAGCUUCCCUUCAUCCAAAACUUUGAAGAGGGCAAAGCCCGCUGGCGUCUCAAACAACACAAGCAUCCUUCAAUGGCUCAAAACCG